ACAAAGAAGAUUUUGAUCCUGGCUCAGGAUGAACGAUAGCUACAGGCUUAACACAUGCAAGUCGAGCGGAACUGCUUCGGCAGUUUAGCGGCAGACGGGUGAGUAACACGUAUCCAACCUGUCCCUUACUCGGGCAUAGCCUCGGGAAACUGAGAGUAAUCCCCGAUGAAGUGUACGCAAUGCAUAUUAUGCACACCAAAGAUUUAUCGGUGAGGGGUGGGGAUGCGUUCCAUUAGGUAGUAGGCGGGGCAACGGCCCACCUAGCCGAUGAUGGAUAGGGGUUCUGAG
RNAcentral lists this ribosomal RNA (288 nucleotides) under Bacteroidaceae bacterium. RNAcentral describes it as "partial 16S ribosomal RNA". It matches the Rfam family "Bacterial small subunit ribosomal RNA", at positions 1 to 296 of the family's 1533-position model. The record is from RNAcentral. Lineage: Bacteria; Pseudomonadati; Bacteroidota; Bacteroidia; Bacteroidales; Bacteroidaceae.